This 126-nucleotide small nucleolar RNA is filed under the name Sus scrofa (pig). RNAcentral describes it as "Small nucleolar RNA SNORA31 (ENSSSCG00070018954.1)". Lineage: Eukaryota; Metazoa; Chordata; Mammalia; Artiodactyla; Suidae. The record is from RNAcentral.
AUGCAUCUAUUUGACAGGCCUGGAGCAGUUCCUGUCACGUGUCCACUCCAGAUGCAAGAACAAAGCAUCCUUGCGCUUUCGGUCUGUCGGAUGGGGGCAGCCCAAACUGAAUGGGGGAAUACAGGA